GGGGAAUCUUAGACAAUGGGGGCAACCCUGAUCUAGCCAUGCCGCGUGAGUGAUGAAGGCCUUAGGGUCGUAAAGCUCUUUCGCCUGUGAUGAUAAUGACAGUAGCAGGUAAAGAAACCCCGGCUAACUCCGUGCCAGCAGCCGCGGUAAUACGGAGGGGGUUAGCGUUGUUCGGAAUUACUGGGCGUAAAGCGCGCGUAGGCGGAUUAGAAAGUUGGGGGUGAAAUCCCGGGGCUCAACCUCGGAACUGCCUCCAAAACUGCUAGUCUAGAGUUCGAGAGAGGUGAGUGGAAUUCCGAGUGUAGAGGUGAAAUUCGUAGAUAUUCGGAGGAACACCAGUGGCGAAGGCGGCUCACUGGCUCGAUACUGACGCUGAGGUGCGAAAGUGUGGGGAGCAAAC
Molecule: ribosomal RNA, 400 nt
Filed under: uncultured Paracoccaceae bacterium
Lineage: Bacteria; Pseudomonadati; Pseudomonadota; Alphaproteobacteria; Rhodobacterales; Paracoccaceae
Description: bacterial SSU rRNA
Rfam family: Bacterial small subunit ribosomal RNA
Source: RNAcentral